This 473-nucleotide ribosomal RNA is filed under the name uncultured Magnetococcus sp. RNAcentral describes it as "bacterial SSU rRNA". It matches the Rfam family "Bacterial small subunit ribosomal RNA", at positions 79 to 587 of the family's 1533-position model. Lineage: Bacteria; Pseudomonadati; Pseudomonadota; Magnetococcia; Magnetococcales; Magnetococcaceae. The record is from RNAcentral.
UUCGGGUCGCCGGCGAGUGGCAAACGGGUGAGUAACGCGUGGAUACCUGUCCUGUGGUGGGGAAUAACGUUUAGAAAUGAACGCUAAUACCGCAUAAGCCCUGCGGGGGAAAGAUUUAUCGCCAUAGGAGGGGUCCGCGUCGGAUUAGCUAGUUGGUGGGGUAACGGCCUACCAAGGCGACGAUCCGUAGCUGGUCUGAGAGGAUGAUCAGCCACACUGGGACUGAGACACGGCCCAGACUCCUACGGGAGGCAGCGGUGGGGAAUAUUGCGCAAUGGAGGAAACUCUGACGCAGCGACGCCGCGUGGGUGAAGAAGGCCUUAGGGUUGUAAAGCCCUUUCAGUGGGAAAGAUGAUGACGGUACCCACAGAAGAAGCCCCGGCUAACUCCGUGCCAGCAGCCGCGGUAAUACGGAGGGGGCCAGCGUUGUUCGGAAUUACUGGGCGUAAAGGGCGCGUAGGCGGUUGAUCAAG